RNAcentral lists this ribosomal RNA (471 nucleotides) under uncultured bacterium. RNAcentral describes it as "bacterial SSU rRNA". It matches the Rfam family "Bacterial small subunit ribosomal RNA", at positions 917 to 1382 of the family's 1533-position model. The record is from RNAcentral.
GGGCUCACACAAGCGGUGGAGGAUGUUGUUUAAUUCGAAGCAACGCGAAGAACCUUACCCGGGUUUGACAUGCUAGUAACGACCCUGAAAGGGGAAGAAUCUCCUUAACCGGAGAAGCUAGCACAGGUGCUGCAUGGCUGUCGUCAGCUCGUGUCGUGAGAUGUUGGGUUAAGUCCCGUAACGAGCGAAACCCCUGUCGUUAGUUGCUACCAGGUAAUGCUGGGCACUCUAGCGAUACUGCCGGUGUUAAACCGGAGGAAGGCGGGGACGACGUCAAGUCAUCAUGGUCCUUACGUCCGGGGCGACAAACGUCCUACAAUGGCAGGUACAAUGAGAAGCAAAACCGCGAGGUCAAGCAAAUCUCCAAAGCCUGCCUCAGUUCAGAUUGGAGGCUGAAACCCGCCUCCAUGAAGGUGGAAUCGCUAGUAACCGGAGAUCAGCCAUGCUCCGGUGAAUAUGUUCCUGAGCCUU